RNAcentral lists this ribosomal RNA (199 nucleotides) under uncultured bacterium. RNAcentral describes it as "partial 16S ribosomal RNA". It matches the Rfam family "Bacterial small subunit ribosomal RNA", at positions 328 to 539 of the family's 1533-position model. The record is from RNAcentral.
ACGCUCGACACCUACGGGAGGUAGCAGUGGGGAAUAUUGCACAAUGGGGGAAACCCUGAUGCAGCGACGCCGCGUGAGCGAAGAAGUAUUUCGGUAUGUAAAGCUCUAUCAGCAGGGAAGAAACUGACGGUACCUGACUAAGAAGCACCGGCUAAAUACGUGCCAACAGCCGCCGGUAAUCUGAGCGGGCUGGCAAGGC